UUAAGCGACUAAGCGUACACGGUGGAUGCCCUGGCAGUCAGAGGCGAUGAAGGACGUGCUAAUCUGCGAAAAGCGUCGGUAAGGUGAUAUGAACCGUUAUAACCGGCGAUGUCCGAAUGGGGAAACCCAGUGCAAUUCGUUGCACUAUCGUUAACUGAAUACAUAGGUUAACGAGGCGAACCGGGGGAACUGAAACAUCUAAGUACCCCGAGGAAAAGAAAUCAACCGAGAUUCCCCCAGUAGCGGCGAGCGAACGGGGAGCAGCCCAGAGUCUGAAUCAGCUUGUGUGUUAGUGGAACGGUCUGGAAAGUCCGACGGUACAGGGUGAUAGUCCCGUACACCAAAAUGCACAGGUUGUGAACUCGAAGAGUAGGGCGGGACACGUGGUAUCCUGUCUGAAUAUGGGGGGACCAUCCUCCAAGGCUAAAUACUCCUGACUGACCGAUAGUGAACCAGUACCGUGAGGGAAAGGCGAAAAGAACCCCGGCGAGGGGAGUGAAAAAGAACCUGAAACCGUGUACGUACAAGCAGUGGGAGCACCUUCGGGUGUGACUGCGUACCUUUUGUAUAAUGGGUCAGCGACUUAUAUUCUGUAGCAAGGUUAACCGUAUAGGGGAGCCGCAGGGAAACCGAGUCUUAACUGGGCGUUAAGUUGCAGGGUAUAGACCCGAAACCCGGUGAUCUAGCCAUGGGCAGGUUGAAGGUUGGGUAACACUAACUGGAGGACCGAACCGACUAAUGUUGAAAAAUUAGCGGAUGACUUGUGGCUGGGGGUGAAAGGCCAAUCAAACCGGGAGAUAGCUGGUUCUCCCCGAAAGCUAUUUAGGUAGCGCCUCGUGAAUUCAUCUUCGGGGGUAGAGCACUGUUUCGGCUAGGGGGUCAUCCCGACUUACCAACCCGAUGCAAACUACGAAUACCGAAGAAUGUUAUCACGGGAGACACACGGCGGGUGCUAACGUCCGUCGUGAAGAGGGAAACAACCCAGACCGCCAGCUAAGGUCCCAAAGUCAUGGUUAAGUGGGAAACGAUGUGGGAAGGCACAGACAGCCAGGAUGUUGGCUUAGAAGCAGCCAUCAUUUAAAGAAAGCGUAAUAGCUCACUGGUCGAGUCGGCCUGCGCGGAAGAUGUAACGGGGCUAAACCAUGCACCGAAGCUGCGGCAGCGACACUAUGUGUUGUUGGGUAGGGGAGCGUUCUGUAAGCCUGCGAAGGUGUGCUGUGAGGCAUGCUGGAGGUAUCAGAAGUGCGAAUGCUGACAUAAGUAACGAUAAAGCGGGUGAAAAGCCCGCUCGCCGGAAGACCAAGGGUUCCUGUCCAACGUUAAUCGGGGCAGGGUGAGUCGACCCCUAAGGCGAGGCCGAAAGGCGUAGUCGAUGGGAAACAGGUUAAUAUUCCUGUACUUGGUGUUACUGCGAAGGGGGGACGGAGAAGGCUAUGUUAGCCGGGCGACGGUUGUCCCGGUUUAAGCAUGUAGGCUGGUUAUCCAGGCAAAUCCGGAUAAUCAAGGCUGAGGUGUGAUGACGAGGCACUACGGUGCUGAAGUAACAAAUGCCCUGCUUCCAGGAAAAGCCUCUAAGCAUCAGGUAACAUCAAAUCGUACCCCAAACCGACACAGGUGGUCAGGUAGAGAAUACCAAGGCGCUUGAGAGAACUCGGGUGAAGGAACUAGGCAAAAUGGUGCCGUAACUUCGGGAGAAGGCACGCUGGUGUGUAGGUGAAGUCCCUGCGGAUGGAGCUGAGACCAGUCGAAGAUACCAGCUGGCUGCAACUGUUUAUUAAAAACACAGCACUGUGCAAACACGAAAGUGGACGUAUACGGUGUGACGCCUGCCCGGUGCCGGAAGGUUAAUUGAUGGGGUUAUCCGUAAGGAGAAGCUCUUGAUCGAAGCCCCGGUAAACGGCGGCCGUAACUAUAACGGUCCUAAGGUAGCGAAAUUCCUUGUCGGGUAAGUUCCGACCUGCACGAAUGGCGUAAUGAUGGCCAGGCUGUCUCCACCCGAGACUCAGUGAAAUUGAACUCGCUGUGAAGAUGCAGUGUACCCGCGGCAAGACGGAAAGACCCCGUGAACCUUUACUAUAGCUUGACACUGAACAUUGAGCCUUGAUGUGUAGGAUAGGUGGGAGGCUUUGAAGCGUGGACGCCAGUCUGCGUGGAGCCAACCUUGAAAUACCACCCUUUAAUGUUUGAUGUUCUAACGUUGGCCCCUUACCGGGGUUGCGGACAGUGUCUGGUGGGUAGUUUGACUGGGGCGGUCUCCUCCCAAAGCGUAACGGAGGAGCACGAAGGUUAGCUAAUCCUGGUCGGACAUCAGGAGGUUAGUGCAAUGGCAUAAGCUAGCUUGACUGCGAGCGUGACGGCGCGAGCAGGUGCGAAAGCAGGUCAUAGUGAUCCGGUGGUUCUGAAUGGAAGGGCCAUCGCUCAACGGAUAAAAGGUACUCCGGGGAUAACAGGCUGAUACCGCCCAAGAGUUCAUAUCGACGGCGGUGUUUGGCACCUCGAUGUCGGCUCAUCACAUCCUGGGGCUGAAGUAGGUCCCAAGGGUAUGGCUGUUCGCCAUUUAAAGUGGUACGCGAGCUGGGUUUAGAACGUCGUGAGACAGUUCGGUCCCUAUCUGCCGUGGGCGCUGGAGAAUUGAGGGGGGCUGCUCCUAGUACGAGAGGACCGGAGUGGACGCAUCACUGGUGUUCGGGUUGUCAUGCCAAUGGCACUGCCCGGUAGCUAAAUGCGGAAGAGAUAAGUGCUGAAAGCAUCUAAGCACGAAACUUGCCCCGAGAUGAGUUCUCCCUGAGACUUUAAGUCUCCUGAAGGAACGUUGAAGACGACGACGUUGAUAGGCCGGGUGUGUAAGCGCAGCGAUGCGUUGAGCUAACCGGUACUAAUGAACCGUGAGGCUUAACCUU
Molecule: ribosomal RNA, 2900 nt
Filed under: Klebsiella pneumoniae
Lineage: Bacteria; Pseudomonadati; Pseudomonadota; Gammaproteobacteria; Enterobacterales; Enterobacteriaceae
Description: bacterial LSU rRNA
Rfam family: Bacterial large subunit ribosomal RNA
Source: RNAcentral